Molecule: long non-coding RNA, 378 nt
Organism: Solanum dulcamara
Lineage: Eukaryota; Viridiplantae; Streptophyta; Magnoliopsida; Solanales; Solanaceae
Exons: 2
Source: RefSeq, a predicted model, not a curated record
AGAGUUCAAUUUAUUUUUCCACAAAGCAAGAGCUUUUGAUUUUUUACGGAGUGAAGAUUUAAGCAUUUAAUUUGCUGCAGAAAGAGGAGAGACGGUAGCAGUCAUGAAGUGAGCAUCUGUAAUUUUACGUUUCCCCUUCUUUAUUCCAUUUUUUUUUCAUAUUUCAGAUGCGUCAUCACGUCAUGUAUUACAUAUAUAUACACAGUGAUAUUGUAGACAACUUUAGGAACAUUGAAACACAAUUUUCAAAUAGUAAGCAGUAGCAUUUUUGUUGACUUUAUAGUCAUGACAUUAUUUUUUUUCUUUUCAUGCUUCUGGUACACAUGUUUAUUUUACAUUAUAUGAAAAUUGCCAAACUAAAAUAAUUAGUUUUUUUAA